This 520-nucleotide unclassified non-coding RNA is filed under the name uncultured Glomus. RNAcentral's name for it is "SSU rRNA". It matches the Rfam family "Eukaryotic small subunit ribosomal RNA", at positions 569 to 1091 of the family's 1831-position model. The record is from RNAcentral. Lineage: Eukaryota; Fungi; Glomeromycota; Glomeromycetes; Glomerales; Glomeraceae.
AGCAGCCGCGGUAAUUCCAGCUCCAAUAGCGUAUAUUAAAGUUGUUGCAGUUAAAAAGCUCGUAGUUGAAUUUCGGGAUUAAUAUGUUGGUCGUGCCUUGGUACGUACUGGCAUUAUUGAUUCCUACCUUCUGAAGAACCUCGAUGUCAUUAAUUUGGUGUCUUGGGAAAUCAGGACCGUUACUUUGAAAAAAUUAGAGUGUUUAAAGCAGGCUCGCGCUUGAAUACAUUAGCAUGGAAUAAUGAAAUAGGACGUUUGAUUCUAUUUUGUUGGUUUCUAGGAUCGACGUAAUGAUUAAUAGGGAUAGUUGGGGGCAUUAGUAUUCAAUUGUCAGAGGUGAAAUUCUUGGAUUUAUUGAAGACUGACUACUGCGAAAGCAUUUGCCAAGGAUGUUUUCAUUAAUCAAGAACGAAAGUUAGGGGAUCGAAGACGAUCAGAUACCGUCGUAGUCUUAACCAUAAACUAUGCCGACUAGGGAUCGGAUGAUGUUAAUUUUUAAUGUACUCAUUCGGCGCCUUAA